Molecule: ribosomal RNA, 301 nt
Filed under: uncultured bacterium
Lineage: Bacteria
Description: partial 16S ribosomal RNA
Rfam family: Bacterial small subunit ribosomal RNA
Source: RNAcentral
CAGUCGCCACGGUAAUACGAAGGGUGCAAGCGUUAAUCGGAAUUACUGGGCGUAAAGCGUGCGUAGGCGGUGAGUUAAGUCUGCUGUGAAAUCCCCGGGCUCAACCUGGGAAUGGCAGUGGAUACUGGCUCGCUAGAGUGUGUCAGAGGAUGGUGGAAUUCCCGGUGUAGCAGUGAAAUGCGUAGAGAUCGGAAGGAACAUCUGUGGCGAAGGCGACUAUCUGGGCCAACACUGACACUGAGGCACGAAAGCGUGGGGAGCAAACAGGAUUAGAUACCCCCGUAGUCCCUGUCUCUUAUAA